GAUGAACGCUGGCGGCGUGCCUAAUACAUGCAAGUCGAGCGAACAGACGAGGAGCUUGCUCCUCUGACGUUAGCGGCGGACGGGUGAGUAACACGUGGAUAACCUACCUAUAAGACUGGGAUAACUUCGGGAAACCGGAGCUAAUACCGGAUAAUAUAUUGAACCGCAUGGUUCAAUAGUGAAAGACGGUUUUGCUUUCACUUAUAGAUGGAUCCGCGCCGCAUUAGCUAGUUGGUAAGGUAACGGCUUACCAAGGCAACGAUGCGUAGCCGACCUGAGAGGGUGAUCGGACACACUGGAACUGAGACACGGUCCAGACUCCUACGGGAGGCAGCAGUAGGGAAUCUUCCGCAAUGGGCGAAAGCCUGACGGAGCAACGCCGCGUGAGUGAUGAAGGUCUUCGGAUCGUAAAACUCUGUUAUUAGGGAAGAACAAAUGUGUAAGUAACUAUGCACGUCUUGACGGUACCUAAUCAGAAAGCCACGGCUAACUACGUG
This 497-nucleotide ribosomal RNA is filed under the name uncultured bacterium. RNAcentral describes it as "partial 16S ribosomal RNA". It matches the Rfam family "Bacterial small subunit ribosomal RNA", at positions 28 to 507 of the family's 1533-position model. The record is from RNAcentral.